Molecule: long non-coding RNA, 8136 nt
Organism: Numida meleagris (helmeted guineafowl)
Lineage: Eukaryota; Metazoa; Chordata; Aves; Galliformes; Numididae
Exons: 5
Source: RefSeq, a predicted model, not a curated record
CUUCGGCCGCCCGCUGCAGGGGGACACCGGAGCUUGCUCCGCUCCGCUCCGCCCUCCCCUCGGCCAGGCGGCCUCUCCCCUGCACCCCCCACCCUCCCCGCCUCGCACCUUCUCCUGGGCGCGGUUGAGGCGUUUCUGGACGUUUUUGGCGAAGAUGCCGGUCUUCAUGUCGGCCAUGGCUGGCGGCGGGGGAAGCGGGGUGGGGGGAAGGCGGGCGAGGCAGAGCCCGGCGGCGGCGAGCGGCGAUGGGUGCAAAACACAAGCCAGAAGGUCAUUCUCUGUGCCCACCAAAAGACAACGCCUCCUAUAGCCAGGAAGUCAAAACAUGUUUCAUAAAACCUUGUACUUCUGACGCCUGUCCAGUCAUAGACCUGCAUCACACAUUUUCCUGCAAUAUUAGGGAGCAGAAUUGACAUACCAACUGCAGCAGUAACAAUGUUUCGUAUGAAGCUGUGACCCAAGAUUAACACUUCUCUGAGUCAUUAGCAUGCUAACAUGCACUGAACCUGAACUUGCAUUCUGGCACAGAACAGCAGUUUCAUCACUCAAAAGCAUUUAUCUGAGAGUUGCAAGUGCCCUUUGAUUUCAGCUUGAUUAUUUUUAUCCGUCUCACUUCACAGAACUACACACAGCUGGGAUGCCUCCUCAGGCUCUCAAACCCCUGCACAUGAGCUGGAGAGCAACACUAAUGAGGGGCCUGCAGAGUUCACUCUCAAAUUGAGCACUAGUGAUGUUUCUGUAAGAUUCCUGCAUAGCACCCACGGUACACAGAUGAUCGUGCUAUACUUCAGCAGUUGAUCCCAAUGUUCUCCAAAAUAACAAAAAUUGUUGACAUAUAACCGAAUGUGUCGGAGGGAUAAUGUCUGUGAAAGCCAGAUUAACUAUGUUAUCCCAUGUAAGGUAAGACUACUCCUACUUUUUUGUUCAUGAAUGCUAUGAAAAAUCUGACAGAGCAAAUUUGCAUGCAAUUCAGGCUGAGUAUUGUUACUCUGUUCUUCCAGACUGAGAUCACAGCCCCAGAGCACAGCUCACCUGCAUUGGCCUUGCUGUUCAGACCACUCCUGACCCAUCCCCACUCGCUGGGCUUUGAUUUACACCCAGAGCAGCCACUAUGCUGGAAACAUCCCACCAGAAUUGAUGGCAGCGGUAGGUGCCUAACCAGCAGGACCAAACUGGCUCUGUCCAAAGCAGGACAGAUAGAGCAUCUAGAAUGCAGCACUGGAACCUCAGCUCUGCUCGCUUUGCUCCACAGACAGCUCCCCUUGCACUGCUUGCUGGUGUCAGCGCAGCCAAAGAUCACUUUCGUCUGUUUUCUCAUACCAAUAAACUAUUUGGCAAUAUAUAUUCUAAUAUACAGUCUAGCAAGAAUGUACCAAUCCAGCAGGAGAGACAGAUUUUGCUUUCAUCACUGGAAAGUUUUGUGUUGUUUGUUUGUUUGGGAUUGUUCUGCCUAUUUUUUGAUCUCAGUUUUUAGAAUUUCUACCUUUUUUUUUAAUCUCUUCUUACAGUGUAAUCACAUGAUAGAAAGAUUCACAACAAAUAAAAAGAAGAUGCAAAGAGCUAUGUUUACUUCUUUGCAAAAGCCUUGUGAAAAGAACAUGAGGAUCAGAAGAGGAAAUUCUGUGAGGACCAAAUGAACCUUUGCAUGAGGCCAUUAUAAUCCUGGCAUCAUUGUUUUCUGCAGCUUGUAUUAAAGGUGGCAGACGAUUUUUGUGGGAAGUAGCAGUGGAGAGGAGUGCUAGGAUAAAAAUGGUUACAUUUGGAGGCAAAAAACACUGUAGCUAUCCCCUGUCCCCAUCAAUUCCAGCAUGCGCAGCUCAACCUUUGGAACAACUAUUUCUGUAUAGGGCAAGAUCCACUAGGACAUGGUCUCAAUCUGCUUUCAGUUUUCAUUCUGGACUGCUAACAAAUAUUUUUCUUUUCCCUUUUUCCAGACCACCACUGAUUAUACUGAACAGCUGUUCAUAUAUAUAUAUACUGAAUACUACUGAAUACUGUAUACUGAACACUGGAGUCCCAGUGCUUAUCCCUGUGGAACUUACCAGCAAUUACUCCUUCCUUGUGAAAGGUGAUCCUACAUCAUUUCUCAGUUUUAAACAGAUAUCAAUCCAUUAGAAACCCUUUGCUUCCUGUCUCAAGGCUGAUCUUUUUUAUUUUUCUCUCUCUUUUUUUUUUUUUUAAGUACCUGCAGAAGGACUUUAACAUGAGCUCUAUUUGUUUAUUUCUCAAAUGUAAAAUCACAAUUACCACCUGAGUCAGUUAUUGACAGGUUAAUCAUGUGCUUCCAGAACCUCAGAUAAACGUGAGGUGUAACUUCCAUCUCCAUAACCCGUGCUCACUUUUCCCUAAUAUGUGAUAUAAAAUAGGUAUCUUCACAUGCCUAUGUGAUAUAAAAUAGACAUCUUUGUAUGUCUCUAUUUUAAUAGCACUUGUACUGAUUUAUCCACUGAAGAAGUGAGACUUACUGAUCUGUAUUUCUAUGGAUUACUCUCGGAGCCUUUUAGGAAAUGUUAGCAGCAUAUUUACUACUUUCCAUUCUUCUAGUAUUAGGACUUACUUUGAGACAGCUUACAUAUAACAGUAGCAAUAUCCUGUCUUGAGAUCCAUCAGAGUUUUAGGUGAAUACAUACUGAUGUGCAUGGUAUCAUGUUAUUCAUCGAUAUUUUCCCUACCUGUUUUACAGUUUAAUUUCAGAAGUUUCCUUGUUAGUAAAUGCUUCAGUGUAGGUUUUCCUUGGGCACUUUGAUAACAAAUACUACUUCAAAGAACUCAUUUGAUUUUCCUGGUGGGAGUCUGUCUUUGUUGAAAUCCUUCUUUGCUUCAGUUUUCUAUAGGUUGCCUUAUCCAUCUGCAGCUUGCUGAUGAGGUUUAUGUUGCAGGCUCUUAGUUUCAAUACGUUGCUUCUCACUGACUCUCUGAGCCCAUGUGAUUGUGGCUAGGUACAAAUGAGCUGUUGGAAUGCAAUGCUCCUUUCCUGUGUCCCUUGACACUGUGCACAUAUUUUGAAGGAGAUUUGGUUAUGUCUAAGAUGUCUCUUCACUUUGCCACCUAUCUGGACUUGCUUUUGGAGGGGGAGAUUCUUUUAAAAGUCCGCUAUGAUGAAUUCAGGAUUUUUUGUAUCACUUGUGAACAUUUUGCUACUUUUAAUUUACUAGUUUAUUUUUUUUUUUAAGAGUUAGUAUUUACUGUGGCAGAUUACUUUUUUGCUUUUACACCUUACAAGGAUAUUGACUUUGAUCAUAUUAAGGACUCUCUUACUAAGUGGCUUUUUGGUUGAAACAUUCAGGUUCUGCACAGUUCCCAGAACAAAACUCAAGGGUCACUUCCCCUUUUGUGCUCUCUGAUUAGGUAUUUCAAGAGGCAGUCAUUUGUAGUACUGAAAAUGUAGUUGAUACCUAAUGAUACCUAAGCCUGACUUUUCCCAGAGUCAAUUUGGUUCUGUUCUCCUCGACUCCUUGCACCCCAUGCUGCCACAUUGGUUGUGUGGCUGAUGGUACUAUUAUCAUAGAAUCAUAGAAUCACAGAAUUGAGUCGGAAGGGACACUUAAAGGCCAUUUAGUCCAACCCCCCUGCAAUGAACAGGGACACCUAGAGCUACAUCAGGUUGUUCAGAGCCCUGUCCAGUCCAACUUUGAGUGUUUCCAGGGAUGAGGCAUAUACCACCUCUCUGGGCAACCUGCUUUAUAUGUAGGCAUAACAUUUCAAAUGAUUAAUGAUUCUGUGUUACCUGUUGAUGGUAUUCAUUUAUUUAUAUCCUGUGAUUCAAAUUUUUCUUAAAUGUAUACGGCCUUCCUUUGCCUCAUAAGGUUUUCUCUGAUACUUCUACAGACAGUGAACUCGGUACUGCUCUUUUCAGCAUAAUUUAGCAUUUGAUUCUAGUAGAAGAAAACAUGCAUUGUCUUGAAGAACAGAAAAAGUAUAACCUAGGGAUUUCUCUAAUGCCAAGAGAAAAUAAAUCUUUCAUAGCACAGUAGAGUAAAAAGUCAGUCCCCAAAGUAUAUAACUGACAAGUAAUUCUCUAGAUUUGGUGCUUUCUUUCUUAGUAGUUUUGUUUAAAUUGUUUCAAGAGUACAGCAAUUGACUUUGAGCUAGUGUUUGGCAAAGGUCUGCUCGAGGGAGGAGUUCUGGAGAGGAAGACACAAUGAUGGUGUCUCCAGUAAAUAUGGCUAAGAGCUGCAUGGAUAUGAAGUCAAAGAGUACAACAGAUCGUGAGAGGGGAAAAAUGACUUCUCAAUGAGACUUUUCUCAGAUAAAGCUCCUUAUUCAGUGUUAGGUAAGAAUUUUCUAGCACCUAUCUUUUUGAAUUGCUAUCAAAUGACACAGGCAAGGACGGAUCCAACCAAUAGGCCCAGAGGACACGGUAUUUUCUGAGGUGACAGAUGUACAAAACUUGAAUGCUAAAUCACAACAGUUCAGAAAUGGGAUGUUCAACAUGAGAUUUCCAUUUAAGGGGUUAUUUGCAAUUCCAGAUCCCUUGAAUUGCAGUCAGGAACUGUACUCAGCAAGCACUGAAGCACUCCAGUAGCACACUCAACAGCAAAAAAAAAAAAGGUGCCUGCUUAAAAGACUCCAGCUGAAUAGCCACUGACUCUGAGGUGGAAAGGAAGCAAAGUUCGUGUGAUCAAAACUUGAUUGUCUACCCUGUGCAGUCCAUACAGAGUGCUGACAGAGUCUAUCCAGCUAUCAGCCAAAAGUUGAGAGCUGCUCUGAAAGUAAUGCCUCCUGUUCUAUUACACUGGCCCACAACAUCAGAGGUGGAUGUUGGUGGUAUGGCAGUAAGGAUCGAACCUUCCCACCAAUAUUCCAUUACAUUUUGUUGCUGUGUGACAGAUGGCAGCAGAGGGGCAGACUGACUAAAUGGUGUCUGAUGUGGAACUGCUUAUGAAGAACAGGUGCGUCACUGAAUUCCUCCAUGCAGAAAAAAUGGCACCCACUGAUAUUCACUGACACUUACUGAACAUUUAUGGAGACCAAACAGUGGAUGUGAGCACAGUGAGGCAGUGGGUGGUGUCUUUCAGCAGCGGAGACAGCGGGUCACCUCUACUGGUGCAAAUUUCUACACGCACAGCAUGCAGGCUCCUGUUCACUGUUGGCAAAAACACAUAGCUAAUGGUGGUGACUAUGCUGAAAAACAGCGUUUCAUAGCUUAGAAUUUGCUCUAUCAAACAGUGUUACUGCGCUCUUUGUACCUGUUGUAGUUUCCACGGAAAUAAAUAGGAGGCAUUACUUUGAGAGUUAUGUACAUAGAAAAAGUGUGGCAGCAUAGUCUCCUACUAAAAUCACUAGUUGCCAAACAUAGCAGACAAGAAGUAUUUCUUGUUCUCUGCAUUAGAGUAAGCCUUGACAAAUCUGCAGUCAAGCCAGUGGCAGCAACUGUCCAUGAAAACAUGUAUUUCAAACAGCAACGUGAUGUAGAUUAAAAAUGCACAAACAGCUCCAUAUCACAAAUCAUUCCUGCAUUCCUGUCUUGGCAGUUUUUGCCACUGCCUUUAGCAGUCCAGAAUAACCAGACCAUUUUUUGUCCUUUCACCACUGAGGCUCAAAAGGACAGAACGUGAUUUCCCUCUUGCAUAGUGACAGUUAUCCAUAAGUUUGAAGUCUGAAGGGUCUACCUAAGGCAUACAAUAAGCAGAGCUACCCAAAGGUCAUAUAUACACCUUCAUCUUUAUUGUGGAAUGGAAGAGUCUGCAGAGAUCAGAGCUGGCAGCUAUCAAACCAGCAGUUUUUGAUGUGACACCAGCGAUGCUGCUGCAAAAUAGCUGCAGAAACCUGUCCUGCUGCUGCUCUAUAGCCAAGCAUCAUCCUCAUGCUUCAAUUCUGCAGUAAAGCCCUGCUCCUACUAAAUCUGAUGCCAAAACUUGUGUAAGAUGCUUAGCUCCCCAGCAUACCCAAGGGCUAAGCAUGUCAGAGAACUGACAACUUAUUCUGUUCCACCACGGGAAACCCCCUGCCUCAGGUUUCCCAGUGGUCAGCAGCUGUAGCAACUGCUACAGUUGGAGGAUGUGCCUGGGACAUAGCAUGGCUCCUUGAAGCAUUAACUGACCCACUGGCACUUGUAGCAAGGAACAGCAGGUUCUUGCCCACUCACCAUGCACAGCUGAUUCCAGUACACCACUGAUCAGGUGAAAGAGCUGCUUCAAGCCUACUGAGACACAGGUACUAACCCGCAAAUGCAGCUAUAGGAGAUGCAGAAGCCCAUCAUGCACCUCUCAGCUUCAGUAACAGCCAAAAGAUCUGCAGAGCCUUUCCCAGUCCUUUCAGACAUGUCUAUCAACCAUAAAAAGAGCACCCAAUAAACCCCCCAAAUCAGACAAUUUAUCAUGAGAACAACAUCCAGCCUAUACUCACCCCAAAAAUUAACAUCUUAAAUGAGCUCUGGUGAGACUGGCUAAGUAUCAUGCUUUUCUGAAGGGUUAUACAACUUCAAGGCUACUUUUUAGGUGGAACUCUUCUCCAGAAGAAAAGCUCUUGGGUGACUGAAUAUUUCAGACUCCAACCCCAGACUUUCUGUGAUGUGAAGGCUUCUCAGGAAGAAAACUGAAUCAAAGCCAGGACUAUGUGCCUCUUGCUGAAUCUUAAUAAGCAGAUUUGGAAUUCAAGAACAUGAAAAGGGUAGUCCCUGAAGCCCAAAUGAAAGAAGCUUUGGAUUUAGAGGAGAUUUUGAUCAGAUUUUCAUAAAGUGAUUUAAAAUUACUUGCAUAACGCAAAGAAUAUGCCAGGGUAUAAAUGCAACACGAUUGCCAGUGACAGCAAACUAGCAAACUGAGUCACUGAACACUGAAAUGCCUCAGGGAAUUUAAGGCCAAGUGGAAGCAAACAACACACUCGCUUUAAAUUGUCACACAAGUGAGCUACAGAACACCUUGUGGCAUAACUGUGUAAGAGCAAUUUGACUUUUCUCCUCCUGCAAGCUGACAGCUCACGGCAUUGCACAGACAGUUUUUAGGGUACAACACAGAAAAGCUGCUUAAGAGUUACUGACAAAAAGGUUUUAAAAGUUUUUAAACUUGUCUACUGUCAUGCAAGAGCUCAAAUUCCAUGAUGAAACAACCCUUGAGCUUACUGGAGCAUUUCAUUUACAAGGAAUCAAAGCAACUUCUCUAAUCAGUGCAGCAAAGAAGGAAUCUGUGAAUAAUAUACCUGAGAAUGUGUACUAGCCAUUGAAAACAAACUGCUACGGAGCCAGGCAGUAAUUCUUAUGGGUGGUUUGAUGUAUGAAGAUGAUGCUCUGCACUACAAAGUUCAUAAUGUUCUGUUGCUUCACCUACUCCAUGUUCACAAACAGUCUGCACCAUUUUUUCCCCCUCAGAUAACUGUAUUAUUGUGACAGAAUAUUACUGCUAUUUUUAAAGCAAUCUAUUAUGUAACCAUGCAAAGUAGAUCAUAGCAUUUCUAACACACCUAAAUUUGGGUGGACAGACAUGUGGACAACAAAGCACCACACUGGAUUACUAGAACAACUCAGCCAACUGCCUAAGGGAUAUCAAGAGUAUCAUGAAUUUACAUAAACUGGAAAUCCAGCUUCUUAUAAUAUGUGUUAUUUUAAAGCGUACCUGCAUGGGAGUAAGGUACAGAAGAACUUAGAGGUGUUACAUUUUCCAGUUUUACAGUUCAGUAUUAAUAUAGCAUUAUUUCAAAACUUAAGACAUUAACUGCUUGUUUAAACAUCAUAACCCAAUGGAGAAACAACAUACCUCCCCAGUGACUAAAAAACUGUAUUUGGAGUUUUGAAAAGUAACUUUUCAUAGGGAUGCUUGGAUCUAUUUAAUUUCAUCAGAGAACAUUAUGAAGAGAUUACAUUCUGUGAUAAUGCUUUCUGAAAGAUGACCUGCGUUGGAUGUUGAAAUUAAAAAUAAAGGUAUUUUUGUUAACAUCCAAAGAGACUUAUUUAACUUACCUCUUUUGAGUUCCUAAGGACAAAAAGAAAGACCUCAUUUUUGAAAGGCCAUAUUUUUUUCUGUACUUCUGUGAAGUCAAACAAUAGAACUACACUUAUUUUAUGAGUGUUAAGAUCUACUGCUAACACUUAAAGUCUCUGUAUGGGUUCAAUAUGACAAAAAACUAGCUGCAUAAACUAAUGCAUUGCGAAGAUUGAGAAAAUAACCAUUUUCUAACAAACUAUGAAUGUGUUGCCAC